Molecule: long non-coding RNA, 1051 nt
Filed under: Sus scrofa (pig)
Lineage: Eukaryota; Metazoa; Chordata; Mammalia; Artiodactyla; Suidae
Description: lncRNA (ENSSSCG00005020977.1)
Source: RNAcentral
AUAGAACCUGAGCAGAAUUGAGGCAUGCAGAAUGAGGGCUGGUUUCAGUUUUAAGAGAAGCGUAUGCCAGUGGUUUAUAAGAGCUGAUUGUUACAUUUCCGGAAACUUGGCAAGCCACUUGUUAAACUCUAAGUAGCUUGAAAUUCUCCAGGGUGAGAGUAUGUACAUCAUAGAAACGGCAAACACUACAAAACAGGACUCCUCUUCCCUCAAAAAUGCUUGCAGCAUACGACGAGGGAGUGUCCCUAAAAAGUUGAUCUUGCAAGCUGCAGCUUGAAAUCCAGGACAGUGGGUGAGUGGAGCCAAAGCUGCCUGCAGCUGUAAGAUGUAAUUUGCUUGAGAAAUGAACCUUUGCUUUUAGAAAUCACUGAGUUGUGCGGGUUGUUUGUUACCUCAGCAUAACCCUUCAAAAGCUGGCUGAUACACCAUGCCAGUGUUGCUAAGUUUUAGUGAACACCAAUGAACCCUACCUUUAUCUCUCCAGACCUUGGUUCAGGAGAUUUCUCCUAACUUGUGCCAUCACACACCUUGAACCUGAAAGGAUGCAAACUACACUCAGAGACUCAAGCCUGGGAAUCUGGGUCUUGCAAGGUUAACAGAAAGAUAUAAAACAGUAAUUCCAUUAAAAAAAAAUCACUAAGCUACUGCGUCAUUUUUAAACCUUGGCAAACACAAGGCUGUGGCUUGUGGACCUGGAUCGUUUGGGAGUGAGUGCCAGCCCUUUCAAGGGCAGGUCACAUGUUACCGGCCCUCCUUCCCACCCCAGAAGCAGGNNNNNNNNNNNNNNNNNUGGAGCGCUGUGUCUUUAAGGGGGACACGGCGGAGGUUUCCGCACAGGACAAAAUGUCUGCGAGGAUCCUGGAGGGGAUCGGCGAUCCCAGACUCCCAGCCCACCUCCCGCUUCGGGGGUGAUGGGCACUGCUCUUCAGAAUUCACAAGUCCCACUGCAGUGUUUCUACCUGAGAACUGGGCCUGGCUGGACACCACUAAGGCCCUCAGGACAUGGCCUACCAUCUAAUUUGAAGGCGCUGCCUAGAGAAUGAGGAGCGAC